RNAcentral lists this ribosomal RNA (450 nucleotides) under uncultured bacterium. Its description in RNAcentral is "partial 16S ribosomal RNA". It matches the Rfam family "Bacterial small subunit ribosomal RNA", at positions 338 to 795 of the family's 1533-position model. The record is from RNAcentral.
CCUACGGGGGGCUGCAGUGAGGAAUAUUGGUCAAUGGGCGAGAGCCUGAACCAGCCAUGCCGCGUGCAGGAAGACGGCCCUACGGGUUGUAAACUGCUUUUGUUUGGGAAGAAAAGGCGCUACGUGUAGUGCACUGACGGUACCAGAUGAAUAAGCAUCGGCUAACUCCGUGCCAGCAGCCGCGGUAAUACGGAGGAUGCGAGCGUUAUCCGGUUUUAUGGGUUUUAAGGCGUGUGUAUACGUCAGGCUAGAAAUCCCCCAGCUUAACUGGGGAACUGCCAUAGAUACUGGUUUUCUUGAGUACAGUUGAAGUAGGCGGAAUGUGUAAUGUAGCGGUGAAAUGCUUAGAUAUUACACAGAACACCGAUUGCGAAGGCAGCUUGCUAAGCUGUUACUGACGCUGAUGCACGAAAGCGUGGGGAGCGAACAGGAUUAGAUACCCGGGUAGUC